Rhododendron vialii is the source of this 111-nucleotide small nucleolar RNA. RefSeq annotates it as small nucleolar RNA snoR100. The record is from RefSeq and is a predicted model, not a curated record. NCBI's taxonomy places the organism in Eukaryota, Viridiplantae, Streptophyta, Magnoliopsida, Ericales, Ericaceae. The transcript has a single exon.
UAAUUAAGGAAGUAUGAUAAUGUGUACAUAAAUUGAAUUGGGUCUCUAAAGUCUAGGCGCUUUCUGAUGCCAUUUAGCUUUGAUUUGAAGGCAUAGUUUCACAGUAAAACA